This 643-nucleotide ribosomal RNA is filed under the name uncultured organism. Its description in RNAcentral is "bacterial SSU rRNA". It matches the Rfam family "Bacterial small subunit ribosomal RNA", at positions 164 to 823 of the family's 1533-position model. The record is from RNAcentral.
UAAUACUCGAUAGUCUCCAAUUACUUCGGUAUUUUGGAGUAAAGUUUCGGCGCUUUAAGAGGGGCCUGCGUCCUAUCAGCUAGUUGGUGAGGUAAAAGCUCACCAAGGCUAAGACGGGUAGCUGGUGUGAGAGCAUGUUCAGCCACCAUGGAACUGAGACACGGUCCAUACUCCUACGGGAGGCAGCAAUUAGGAAUCUUGCGCAAUGGGGGCAACCCUGACGCAGCGACACAGCGUGGAGGAGGAAGGUCUUCGGAUUGUAAACUCCUUUUAUGAGGGACGAAUAGAUGACGGUACCUCUUGAAUAAGUACCUGCUAACUACGUGCCAGAAGCAUCGGUGAUGCGUAGGGUACAAACGUUAUCCGGAGUUAUUGGGCGUAAAGAGAUGCGUAGGCGGCUUAAUAAGUCUAAGGUUAAAACCCACGGCUCAACCGUGGACAAGCUUUGGAUACUGUUAUGCUUGAGAUAUAGAGGGGUGAAUGGAAUUCCGAGUGGAGUGGUGAAAUACGUUGAUAUUCGGAAGAACACCAGUGGCGAAGGCGAUUCACUGGCUAUUAUCUGACGCUAAGGCUCGAAAGUAUGGGUAGCAAAACGGAUUAGAUACCCGUGUAGUCCAUACCGUAAACGAUGAAUGCUAGGUGU